This 494-nucleotide ribosomal RNA is filed under the name uncultured bacterium. RNAcentral's name for it is "bacterial SSU rRNA". It matches the Rfam family "Bacterial small subunit ribosomal RNA", at positions 903 to 1397 of the family's 1533-position model. The record is from RNAcentral.
AAAGGAAUUGACGGGGGCCCGCACAAGCAGCGGAGCAUGUGGUUUAAUUCGACGCAACGCGAAGAACCUUACCAGGUCUUGACAUCCAGCAAAAGCUAAUGAAAGUUAGUGUGACUUCGGUCAUGCUGAGACAGGUGGUGCAUGGUUGUCGUCAGCUCGUGUCGUGAGAUGUUGGGUUAAGUCCCGCAACGAGCGCAACCCUUGUCAAUAGUUACUAACAUGUAAGGAUGAGGACUCUAUUGAGACCGCCGGGGACAACUCGGAGGAAGGUGGGGACGACGUCAAAUCAUCAUGCCCCUUAUGACCUGGGCUACACACGUGCUACAAUGGCCGACACAGAGAGGCGCCAACCCGCGAGGGGGAGCAGAUCUCAAAAAAGCGGUCACAGUUCGGAUUGUGGGCUGCAACCCGCCCACAUGAAGUCGGAGUUGCUAGUAAUCGCAGAUCAGCAUGCUGCGGUGAAUACGUUCCCGGGCCUUGCACACACCGCCCGU